Molecule: ribosomal RNA, 245 nt
Filed under: uncultured bacterium
Lineage: Bacteria
Description: partial 16S ribosomal RNA
Rfam family: Bacterial small subunit ribosomal RNA
Source: RNAcentral
UACGAAGGGGCUAGCGUUGUUCGGAAUUACUGGGCGUAAAGCGCACGUAGGCGGGUUGUUAAGUCAGGGGUGAAAUCCUGGAGCUCAACUCCAGAACUGCCUUUGAUACUGGCAACCUAGAGACUGGAAGAGGUUAGUGGAAUUCCCAGUGUAGAGGUGAAAUUCGUAGAUAUUCGCAAGAACACCAGUGGCGAAGGCGGCUCACUGGCCCGGUACGUGACGCUGAGGUGCGAAAGCGUGGGGAG